UUCGUUGUUUUCGAAACCUGUGC
RNAcentral lists this microRNA (23 nucleotides) under Panagrellus redivivus. RNAcentral describes it as "prd-miR-76-3p". Its record names the gene prd-miR-76-3p. The record is from miRBase by way of RNAcentral. Lineage: Eukaryota; Metazoa; Nematoda; Chromadorea; Rhabditida; Panagrolaimidae.